AUAUAAACAAACAAAAGAAACAAAGAGUUUGUUUUAAUUUUAAAUGACACAAUUACCCAUCAUCCAGUUAUUUUAAAUUAAUAAUAUCAUUAAAGAAAUAAAGUGAAAAGACAAAUCAUUAUUUAUGUAAGAUAUAUUUCAAACAAAAACAUACCCUCAGCGUAUGGUACAAUUGAUCAAAAAUACAACUUCUUCUGUUACGUAAUGAUAUUUCUCUAUACCUGUUUAAACAAAUAACAACUAAUAUAAUAACUAAACCUAACUGAUUACAAAAGAUAUACAGAACUAUAAAAUACAAUACAACUGUAAUACUUAAACUUUCACAACUACUGUUAUCAACAAAUGCACGUGCGUUUGUUUACAAUUUACCGGAUGUUUACAACAAGUAGGAUGCGCCGGCAUCUAUUGCACGUCAUUAGCAUCGUGACGUAUUGCAUUCCUAACAUACCAAAGAUAAGAGAAGGUUUCAGCAGUAUCCCAUGCUGAGCGCAUGAAAAAUCGGAUUACAUUAAUCACUAUCAACACGUGUGUGAGGAACAAUAAUGACCUGAGAUAAUCAUUUAACAAUAGGGAAUACCACCGAUCAUUAUUUAAUUUACAUUAAGAUAAGAAAAUAAUCUUUACCGUUAAAUGGGUAAUAAAAUUGAUUAUAAG
RNAcentral lists this long non-coding RNA (654 nucleotides) under Mytilus galloprovincialis (Mediterranean mussel). Lineage: Eukaryota; Metazoa; Mollusca; Bivalvia; Mytilida; Mytilidae. The record is from RNAcentral.